GGGACACGUGAUAUCCUGUCUGAAUAUGGGGGGACCAUCCUCCAAGGCUAAAUACUACUGACUGACCGAUAGUGAACCAGUACCGUGAGGGAAAGGCGAAAAGAACCCCUGUGAGGGGAGUGAAAUAGAACCUGAAACCGUGUACGUACAAGCAGUAGGAGCAGGCUUUGUCCUGUGACUGCGUACCUUUUGUAUAAUGGGUCAGCGACUUAUAUUCAGUGGCAAGGUUAACCAUCUAGGGGAGCCGUAGGGAAACCGAGUCUUAACUGGGCGUUCAGUCUCUGGAUAUAGACCCGAAACCAGGUGAUCUAGCCAUGGGCAGGUUGAAGGUUGAGUAACAUCAACUGGAGGACCGAACCGACUAAUGUUGAAAAAUUAGCGGAUGACUUGUGGCUAGGGGUGAAAGGCCAAUCAAACCUGGAGAUAGCUGGUUCUCCCCGAAAGCUAUUUAGGUAGCGCCUCGGACGAAUACUACUGGGGGUAGAGCACUGUUAAGGCUAGGGGGUCAUCCCGACUUACCAACCCUUUGCAAACUCCGAAUACCAGUAAGUACUAUCCGGGAGACACACGGCGGGUGCUAACGUCCGUCGUGGAGAGGGAAACAACCCAGACCGCCAGCUAAGGUCCCAAAUUACUACUAAGUGGGAAACGAUGUGGGAAGGCUCAGACAGCCAGGAUGUUGGCUUAGAAGCAGCCAUCAUUUAAAGAAAGCGUAAUAGCUCACUGGUCGAGUCGGCCUGCGCGGAAGAUGUAACGGGGCUAAGUAGUAAACCGAAGCUGCGGCAAUAUACUUUUGUAUAUUGGGUAGGGGAGCGUUCUGUAAGCGGUUGAAGGUGUGUGGUAACGCAUGCUGGACGUAUCAGAAGUGCGAAUGCUGACAUGAGUAACGAUAAAGGGGGUGAAAAACCUCCUCGCCGGAAGACCAAGGGUUCCUGUCCAACGUUAAUCGGGGCAGGGUAAGUCGACCCCUAAGGCGAGGCCGAAAGGCGUAGUCGAUGGGAAACGGGUUAAUAUUCCCGUACUUCUUACAAUUGCGAUGGGGGGACGGAGAAGGCUAGGUGGGCCUGGCGACGGUUGUCCAGGUUCAAGUGCGUAGGCUUAAGAGUUAGGUAAAUCCGGCUCUUUUUAAGGCUGAGACACGACGUCGAGCACCUACGGGUGUGAAGUCAUUGAUGCCAUGCUUCCAGGAAAAGCCUCUAAGCUUCAGAUUGUAAGGAAUCGUACCCCAAACCGACACAGGUGGUCGGGUAGAGAAUACCAAGGCGCUUGAGAGAACUCGGGUGAAGGAACUAGGCAAAAUGGUACCGUAACUUCGGGAGAAGGUACGCUCUCGACGGUGAAGUCCCUCGCGGAUGGAGCUAUUGAGAGUCGCAGAUACCAGGUGGCUGCAACUGUUUAUUAAAAACACAGCACUGUGCAAAAUCGUAAGAUGACGUAUACGGUGUGACGCCUGCCCGGUGCCGGAAGGUUAAUUGAUGGGGUUAGACUUCGGUCGAAGCUCUUGAUCGAAGCCCCGGUAAACGGCGGCCGUAACUAUAACGGUCCUAAGGUAGCGAAAUUCCUUGUCGGGUAAGUUCCGACCUGCACGAAUGGCGUAAUGAUGGCCACGCUGUCUCCACCCGAGACUCAGUGAAAUUGAAAUCGCUGUGAAGAUGCAGUGUACCCGCGGCUAGACGGAAAGACCCCGUGAACCUUUACUACAGCUUGGCACUGAACAUUGACCCUACAUGUGUAGGA
RNAcentral lists this ribosomal RNA (1737 nucleotides) under Vibrio parahaemolyticus. Its description in RNAcentral is "partial 23S ribosomal RNA". It matches the Rfam family "Bacterial large subunit ribosomal RNA", at positions 419 to 2143 of the family's 2925-position model. The record is from RNAcentral. Lineage: Bacteria; Pseudomonadati; Pseudomonadota; Gammaproteobacteria; Vibrionales; Vibrionaceae.